UGGGGAAUUUUGGACAAUGGGGGAAACCCUGAUCCAGCCAUCCCGCGUGUGCGAUGAAGGCCUUCGGGUUGUAAAGCACUUUUGGCAGGAAAGAAACGUCAUGGGUUAAUACCCCGUGAAACUGACGGUACCUGCAGAAUAAGCACCGGCUAACUACGUGCCAGCAGCCGCGGUAAUACGUAGGGCGCAAGCGUUAAUCGGAAUUACUGGGCGUAAAGCGUGCGCAGGCGGUUCGGAAAGAAAGAUGUGAAAUCCCAGAGCUCAACUUUGGAACUGCAUUUUUAACUACCUGGCUAGAGUGUGUCAGAGGGAGGUGGAAUUCCGCGUGUAGCAGUGAACUGCGUAGAUAUGCGGAGGAACACCGAUGGCGAAGGCAGCCUCCUGGGAUAACACUGACGCUCAUGCACGAAAGCGUGGGGAGCAAACAGG
Molecule: ribosomal RNA, 429 nt
Filed under: Acidobacteriota bacterium
Lineage: Bacteria; Pseudomonadati; Acidobacteriota
Description: Acidobacteria bacterium partial 16S ribosomal RNA
Rfam family: Bacterial small subunit ribosomal RNA
Source: RNAcentral